Molecule: ribosomal RNA, 111 nt
Organism: Ictidomys tridecemlineatus (thirteen-lined ground squirrel)
Lineage: Eukaryota; Metazoa; Chordata; Mammalia; Rodentia; Sciuridae
Source: Ensembl
GUCCAUAGUCAUACCACCCUGAGCUUGCCAGAUAUAAUCUGAUCUUAGAGGCUAAGCAGGGUCAGGCCUGGUUAGUACUUGAAUGGGAGAAAACAGCAGAAGUGAUGCUCU